This 505-nucleotide ribosomal RNA is filed under the name uncultured bacterium. RNAcentral describes it as "partial 16S ribosomal RNA". It matches the Rfam family "Bacterial small subunit ribosomal RNA", at positions 28 to 523 of the family's 1533-position model. The record is from RNAcentral.
GACGAACGCUGGCGGCAGGCCUAACACAUGCAAGUCGAACGGCAGCACAGAAGAGCUUGCUCUUUGGGUGGCGAGUGGCGGACGGGUGAGUAAUGUCUGGGAAACUGCCCGAUGGAGGGGGAUAACUACUGGAAACGGUAGCUAAUACCGCAUAACGUCGCGAGACCAAAGUGGGGGACCUUCGGGCCCGACACCAUCUGAUGUGCCCAGAUGGGAUUAGCUAGUAGGUGGGGUAAUGGCUCACCUAGGCGACGAUCCCUAGCUGGUCUGAGAGGAUGACAGCCACACUGGAACUGAGACACGGUCCAGACUCCUACGGGAGGCAGCAGUGGGGAAUAUUGCACAAUGGGCGCAAGCCUGAUGCAGCCAUGCCGCGUGUAUGAAGAAGGCCUUCGGGUUGUAAAGUACUUUCAGCGGGGAGGAAGGCGGUGAGGUUAAUAACCUCGCCGAUUGACGUUACCCGCAGAAGAAGCACCGGCUAACUCCGUGCCAGCCGCCGCCGUAA